AGUCAUAUGCUUGUCUCAAAGAUUAAGCCAUGCAUGUCUCAGUAUAAGUGUUUCACUGCGAAACUGCGAAUGGCUCAUUAAAACAGUUAUAGUUUCCAUGUCAGUUGAUUAUUACCUGGAUAUCCAUGGUAAUUCUAGAGCUAAUACAUGCGUCCAAACCCGACUUUUGCGGAAGGGUUGUGCUUAUUAGACACUGAACCAACCCGGGUUUCCCGGUUUCGAGUUGAUUGAUGGUAAUCGAACGAAUCGCAUGCUUCGGCGGCGAUAAUUCAUUCAAGUUUCUGACCUAUCAGCUUUCGACGGUAGGGUAUUGGCCUACCGUGGCAUUGACGGGUAACGG
Molecule: ribosomal RNA, 340 nt
Filed under: uncultured eukaryote
Lineage: Eukaryota
Description: SSU rRNA
Rfam family: Eukaryotic small subunit ribosomal RNA
Source: RNAcentral